CCCUUGCCAAUUUGCUGCCCCCGACAGCACCUGUUUCACAUGUCAUGGAAAGCUUCAUAUUCAAGAGAUUACUCGCUGCUGAUGUUUUGUCAUUAUGUGACUGGGGAAGACUUUCCUGUGAUGAUUUAAGUUGUUGCAUGGCAAGUUCAACAGCUUUUUUUCCCACCUAUAAAUCUUGGAUGUGAAGAAUUUAUAUAAUCCGUCUCCAUCUCAAUAAUGUUUGCUAUCAUACUCUCAGCUGGUUUAACACCAUCACGCAAGAACUUUCCUAUGACUUCAGCUAGAUGCCUUCUCAGAUUUGGAUAUCUCUGCAACUCAGCUGCUUGACAAGAGUGGCUCAUCUUUAUCAUUUCAUUGUACACAAAUCUUAGACACUGGAGGCUAGGGUCUAACAGUCGUGCCAUUUGCUUUCUAACCAAAACUUCAAAUGGUGCCUCUGGCACAAACAAAGCAUUUCCAGGACCAGUAGCAUUUUGAAUUGCUAUUCGAAUAUCAUCAUCAGUUAGAUCUUCACAAGGAUCCACUUCCUACAAAGACUCGAAUGCAGUUAGUAGCCAAUGCAGAUUUCAACAAAUAAAAGAGUAAAAACACAGGAAUUAAC
This 601-nucleotide unclassified non-coding RNA is filed under the name Hevea brasiliensis (rubber tree). The record is from RNAcentral. Lineage: Eukaryota; Viridiplantae; Streptophyta; Magnoliopsida; Malpighiales; Euphorbiaceae.